RNAcentral lists this ribosomal RNA (253 nucleotides) under uncultured bacterium. Its description in RNAcentral is "partial 16S ribosomal RNA". It matches the Rfam family "Bacterial small subunit ribosomal RNA", at positions 524 to 776 of the family's 1533-position model. The record is from RNAcentral.
UACGUAGGGUGCGAGCGUUGUCCGGAUUUAUUGGGCGUAAAGAGCGUGUAGGCGGCCAGACAGGUCCGUUGUGAAAACUAGAGGCUUAACCUCUAGACGUCGAUGGAAACCGUCUGGCUAGAGUCCGGAAGAGGAGAAUGGAAUUCCUGGUGUAGCGGUGAAAUGCGCAGAUAUCAGGAAGAACACCCGUGGCUAAGGCGGUUCUCUAGUACGGUACUGACGCUGAGACGCGAAAGCGUGGGGAGCGAACAGG